This 253-nucleotide ribosomal RNA is filed under the name uncultured bacterium. RNAcentral describes it as "partial 16S ribosomal RNA". It matches the Rfam family "Bacterial small subunit ribosomal RNA", at positions 524 to 776 of the family's 1533-position model. The record is from RNAcentral.
UACGUAGGUGGCAAGCGUUAUCCGGAUUUACUGGGUGUAAAGGGCGUGUAGGUGGGGAAGCAAGUCAGAUGUGAAAACCACGGGCUCAACCUGUGGCCUGCAUUUGAAACUGUUUUUCUUGAGUGCUGGAGAGGCAAUCGGAAUUCCGUGUGUAGCGGUGAAAUGCGUAGAUAUACGGAGGAACACCAGUGGCGAAGGCGGAUUGCUGGACAGUAACUGACGCUGAGGCGCGAAAGCGUGGGGAGCAAACAGG